AGAGUUUGAUCAUGGCUCAGAUUGAACGCUGGCGGCAGGCUUAACACAUGCAAGUCGAACGGUAACAGGGAGAAGCUUGCUUCUUUGCUGACGAGUGGCGGACGGGUGAGUAAUGCUUGGGAAUCUGGCUUAUGGAGGGGGAUAACUACGGGAAACUGUAGCUAAUACCGCGUAAUAUCUUCGGAUUAAAGGGUGGGACUUUCGGGCCACCUGCCAUAAGAUGAGCCCAAGUGGGAUUAGGUAGUUGGUGGGGUAAAGGCCUGCCAAGCCGACGAUCUCUAGCUGGUCUGAGAGGAUGACCAGCCACACUGGAACUGAGACACGGUCCAGACUCCUACGGGAGGCAGCAGUGGGGAAUAUUGCACAAUGGGGGGAACCCUGAUGCAGCCAUGCCGCGUGAAUGAAGAAGGCCUUCGGGUUGUAAAGUUCUUUCGGUGAUGAGGGAGGUGUUUGUUUUAAUAGAACAAGCAAUUGACGUUAGUCACAGAAGAAGCACCGGCUAACUCCGUGCCAGCAGCCGCGGUAAUACGGAGGGUGCGAGCGUUAAUCGGAAUGACUGGGCGUAAAGGGCACGCAGGCGGUGACUUAAGUGAGAUGUGAAAGCCCCGAGCUUAACUUGGGAAUUGCAUUUCAUACUGGGUCGCUAGAGUAUUUUAGGGAGGGGUAGAAUUCCACGUGUAGCGGUGAAAUGCGUAGAGAUGUGGAGGAAUACCGAAGGCGAAGGCAGCCCCUUGGGAAUAUACUGACGCUCAUGUGCGAAAGCGUGGGGAGCAAACAGGAUUAGAUACCCUGGUAGUCCACGCUGUAAACGCUGUCGAUUUGGGGAUUGGGCUUAGAGCUUGGUGCCCGUAGCU
This 854-nucleotide ribosomal RNA is filed under the name uncultured bacterium. Its description in RNAcentral is "bacterial SSU rRNA". It matches the Rfam family "Bacterial small subunit ribosomal RNA", at positions 8 to 853 of the family's 1533-position model. The record is from RNAcentral.